ACAGGGCCCUCAGACGUUAUCUCCUCCCAUUCUCACUGCAAAAAGCUUAUCCUUUCCUCUCCAUUUACUCCAUCACCUUCGUUUCAAAAUCCCCACUACCUCCGCCGACGACACCGUCAUCUUCACCCUCUCACCAAAACAACCUUGCUUCCAUCACCGGAUUACCUAAAAAGCUUAUCCUUUCCUCUCCAUUUACUCCAUCACCUUCGUUUCAAAAUCCCCACUACCUCCGCCGACGACACCGUCAUCUUCACCCUCUCACCAAAACAACCUUGCUUCCAUCACCGGAUUACC
RNAcentral lists this long non-coding RNA (294 nucleotides) under Lathyrus oleraceus (garden pea). RNAcentral describes it as "Pisum sativum (pea) long non-coding RNA (PSAT_LNC018583)". The record is from RNAcentral. Lineage: Eukaryota; Viridiplantae; Streptophyta; Magnoliopsida; Fabales; Fabaceae.